AACGAACGCUGGCGGCAUGCCUAACACAUGCAAGUCGAACGAGACCUUCGGGUCUAGUGGCGCACGGGUGCGUAACGCGUGGGAACCUGCCCUUAGGUUCGGAAUAACUCCCCGAAAGGGAUGCUAAUACCGGAUAAUGUCUUCGGACCAAAGAUUUAUCGCCUUUGGAUGGGCCCGCGUUGGAUUAGCUAGUUGGUAGGGUAAAAGCCUACCAAGGCGACGAUCCAUAGCUGGUCUGAGAGGAUGAUCAGCCACACUGGGACUGAGACACGGCCCAGACUCCUACGGGAGGCAGCAGUGGGGAAUAUUGGACAAUGGGCGAAAGACUGAUCCAGCAAUGCCGCGUGAGUGAUGAAGGCCUUAGGGUUGUAAAGCUCUUUUACCCGGGAUGAUAAUGACAGUACCGGGAGAAUAAGCUCCGGCUAACUCCGUG
Molecule: ribosomal RNA, 433 nt
Filed under: uncultured bacterium
Lineage: Bacteria
Description: partial 16S ribosomal RNA
Rfam family: Bacterial small subunit ribosomal RNA
Source: RNAcentral